CCUCUAUACAGGCAGGCAUACACGCGCACGCGUAAGGGCGUGCUUACUGCCUCUCGUGCGAUGCGCACCGACGCGAGUGGCGGGACAAAGCCUUCACCACCACUGCCCAACACACGCGCACGCGUACAAGGGAACAGCAGCAACGCGUAAAAAAAGCAACUGCGUGCUCCCCACCGAGUCACUCAGUUCUCUUCCGAUUGCCAUCAUCAUCGGCGCAGCGUCAUCAUGCCGCCUGUGGGGUCCGGCUACACCUUUGCGGACUUCCUGCAGCGGCUGGAGCGCAGCCCUGCGUCGCAAAUGUCCCCCCUCUACCACGAACACCGCCUCCUCUUUGUGAAUCGGCCCGACAUGCUCUCGAGGGCGGUCCUGUCGGUCUCGUGGGAGAGAGGGCUGGCGAUCCUACAAGCAGCGUACUACACCCAGCCGGUGGCCGCUGAGACGUACAGGGCGUUGUUAGCCCGAAUGCUGCGACACAACCGGCACGUGUCGAAGACCGGCGCAGGUCAGCUUGUCAGCUGGCAGGCCGCGAUGAAGGUGAUGAGCGAGGCAGUGCUGGCGCACGGCACCUCGCUGCCGACCCGCGUGUCUGUCUCGACGCUGCGCCUUCUAGCACCGCACCGGCAGUGGCGCACGGCCAUUGACGUGCUUAAGCUAAACCAGGCGAAUGGACAGCUUACAAAGCCGAUGUUGCUGGAUGCGGCUCACGCCUGUGCAACGUCAGCGGCAUGGCCCCAUGCCCUCCAGCUGCUCAUGCACCUUCAUCAGCAGGAUCCGCCGCUUCUGUUCGACGCGAUACAGAGUAUGCGACCACCUGGCACGACUGCCCUCACAGCCGCUGCCAGCGCUCACGCAUUGCUUCCGUCCGUCCACGACGGCGGAGCCCCAACACCGGCGCAGCAGCACAUUUUGAGCGUCCUGAACAGCGUGGUUGGGAGCGUUCCGCAUGAGGUGGCAGCGCGGAGCCCGCUCUGCACAUCGUACCUGACUCACCUGCUGGCAAGCACCACGUUGACACCCGAGCUAAAGGUGCAGCGAGCAACGGCGGCCAUGGCGCAGCUGCCGUGGACAGCCGCACUGGCACUGCUGAGCGACCUGAGCGAGCCGGCCUUGCUGACAGAUGUAGAGUGGACGCGUGUGCGCGACGCCGUUCUGCUCCACUCCAACUCUGGCACCGGUAAAGGAGACGGUGGCAGCGGCGCAGGAGAGGAACGACAGCGGCGGCGGCCGUUGUCAGCGAAGCGAAGGUCGAAGAGGAAGAGAGACGCCUCCUCUGCUGUCACCUUGCCCGAUGCGGCGGAGCCGGAAAAGGAUGAGGAGGCCGCGGAGGGCGCGGUGCCAUCCUCUUCCACGUCUCUGAACGCUUCCAUCUCGCCAUUGGCACCAUCGGUGACGACCGCAGCAGCUGCACACUCCCAAGACACUGCCGUACUCAGUACAGCGGUUCUCUUCUCCCGCAUGCAGCUCCUACGCGCUUCUCCCCUGACAGCAGCAGCCAUGAUCGCCGUUAUGGUGGACAAGCUUCCCACGCCGGAGAUGGCAGCUGCGUUUCUCCAGAGCUGCGCAGCGCACCUUGCGCAACCCGUGCCGGCCCCUUCCUCGGCAGCGGAUGCUCUCGACACCGCGCUACAGGGUAGUGGCCUCACUGUGGGCUCGGUGGCGGCCGCACGCCACCCCGUUGUCGUCCACGCGCUCUUGCGCAACUGCUCCCGACACGAAAACGGCUGGGCUAUUGCAGCACCGGCGCUGCUUAGGCACAGCGCGGCGCAGGCGACGACCCCGCCCGAGCUGCUCAGCUCACUUGUUCGACAGCUGCGGCAGGCGAAGCAAGUAGCGUUGGCGGUACGCCUGCUUCACGAGCACAUUAUCCCUUCUGGCAGUCUCUUGACACCGACGUCGUGGGAGGACAUACUGGAAUGCGCACUGGCACACAACCGUGCCAUUCGCCUGCGACACCUUCACAGAAAAACGGCGAACUCCCACGACGGUAGUGUGGCCACAAAGGCGGCCCUGAGGCUAUCGAGCGUUCACUGGGUGUCUGCGCUGAGCUGGGUUAAAACCCGGCAGGCGACCUCCAGCGAGGAUCGGAUUUGCAAGACGGGGACCGGCCCAUCGCAGGGUGCCACGCAGCGCCAUCCACUGGAAGUUGUCGCUCUAGAACGGCCCCUGUCACACAAGAUGCUGAGCCUCCUCAUCAACGUCUGCGUGCUGGGAGGCAGCCCACAGGGUGCCCUGCACGUGCUUGGCUACGCGCGCCGUGUAAACAAGACGGAGCUGCCCCAUACAUCGCAGAUACGAGCGCUUCUGUACUGCAUGCAGUACGAUCGCCCUUGCGAAGCAGAGGCAAUCGUGGAGCAGUGCGCGAAACGCGAAGGCGAGGCCGCCGCGCAACCGUUGCGGCACCUGCUGCGAUUGAUACGAGAGGGGAAGUCUGAUGACGACGAAGGAGACGAGGAGUGAGCCACGCUUUCGAGUGCGCGCGCACGUGAAGGACGGCGUGCCUGCGCGUGGUGCGUCUUUCGCUCCCCUCUCCCCCUCUUUACCACCUCCUCUGAUGGAUGGCCAUGCGCGCACUCUCGCUCUGUCUUUGGGUUCGUGUGUCGUCUUUUAAAAUGUUGUUGUUCUUGGUACUUGUGCGGUUUGUUCACAGAGUCGUCUCCCUCCUCCCUGCGUUCGCCCCCUUCGGCCUUUUUUCGACCUCCCACUGUCGCAGACAUUUCCGCACAAGCGCUGAAGAAACAGCGAAAAAACGUCGAAAAUGAAAAUGCAGCCGCUGCGACCCCCCCUUGAUGAGGAAGCCAGGCAGCCUCCCUCUCUCUCCAUCCCCCCAUUUCCCCAUCCCCUGCCAAAUGCCGAACCUCUUCUGGUGGUGACAGGGUCAGGCACCCGCGACGUAGGGAGGUGAGAGCGACUCACUGCUACGGAUGUCGGCGGCCAGGCCCUGGAUGGCGUGGCGUGGGAGCGACCUGCGACAGCGAACACGCUUGUGCCAUCCAUGUGCUAGGCAGAGCGUCAUGGUGACUCGAACGCAUCCCAUCCGGCCCUCGCACUGGCCACUGGUGGUAGGCAGCCUGCGUGCCGCCCCGAGGCGGGAUGCACCAAGGGUGGCGACCGGCACGGUGGGGGAGCGGCUGUGCGGCUGCCUGCGACGCGUGUGCUGAGGGCAGAGGUUUGGGGCAGAGGCCGUGCUCAGAUGGCUGAGUCGGGUGCACUGCUGCAACGCGCGUGUCUACGUCUGCUCCGCACCACGCGGAUGGGGCCCAUGGUCGGGCCGGGGGCCGAGUGCCGCUUCGCUCAUGUCACUUGGCAGAGAGUGGGAGAACACAAGGAUGCAACGAAACAUCAGCGCAGACUUCCAUUGCAGGGGAAGUGGGGUACGCAUAUUCAUGCGGAGCGAUGCCCGCGUUGAUCAGUAGAUGGGCAGCGACGCGUUAAGAUUCUCCUCUAUACCGGGGAUGGACUCGACUCCCUCUUCCCCUUGUUAUUACUCUCACCGCUUCCUUCCUUUUUUUUUUUGUUUCUCUCCGCUGCGGUGGUGCCGCAUCGAUGGUUGUGCUCAUGGCUCUUUUUGGUGCGCGACCUCGGUGGCGGCGCCUCGUUGCUGUUUCCUUUCUCUUCUUUUUGGGGGGUUUGCGUUUCGCCCGUCCCAACUGACCCUCUCUAUCUCCAG
Molecule: unclassified non-coding RNA, 3667 nt
Filed under: Leishmania donovani
Lineage: Eukaryota; Euglenozoa; Kinetoplastea; Trypanosomatida; Trypanosomatidae
Description: gene:LdHU3.27.2160(CDS-product:hypothetical_prote in_conserved)
Source: RNAcentral